UCCGGUGUAGUCGAGCGGUAAGACGCGCGACUGUUAAUCGCGAGGCCCAGGUUCGAGCCCUGGCGCCGGAG
This 71-nucleotide transfer RNA is filed under the name Actinomycetes bacterium. RNAcentral's name for it is "Actinobacteria bacterium tRNA-Asn". It matches the Rfam family "tRNA". Rfam says of the family: Transfer RNA (tRNA) molecules are approximately 80 nucleotides in length. Their secondary structure includes four short double-helical elements and three loops (D, anti-codon, and T loops). The record is from RNAcentral. Lineage: Bacteria; Bacillati; Actinomycetota; Actinomycetes. RNAcentral also lists the same sequence under 1 other name.